UAAUACGUAGGUGGCAAGCGUUGUUCGGAAUUACUGGGCGUAAAGGGCGCGUAGGCGGCCCGCUAAGUCGAACGUGAAAUCCCCGGGCUCAGCCCGGGAACUGCGUCCGAUACUGGCAGGCUUGAAUCCGGGAGAGGGAUGUGGAAUUCCAGGUGUAGCGGUGAAAUGCGUAGAUAUCUGGAGGAACACCGGUGGCGAAGGCGGCAUCCUGGACCGGUAUUGACGCUGAGGCGCGAAAGCCAGGGGAGCAAACGG
Molecule: ribosomal RNA, 255 nt
Filed under: uncultured prokaryote
Description: partial 16S ribosomal RNA
Rfam family: Bacterial small subunit ribosomal RNA
Source: RNAcentral